GUCUUGUUCCUUUUGGAGGAAGAAAUUCUUGAGAUAAAUCUAGUGAUGGCUGUGGAGAGUAAUCACGCCUCCCAUUUGGGGCAGCGCUGACAAAAUUAGGGCACCCAAGUCUUCCCAACCUCCCAUGUACUCCCAGGUAUCACUAGAUCUAUUUCUCCAGAAAGUAUAAAAGCUAGCGAGGGCAAAUUCAUUAAGUAGAUAUUUCCUGCUCUAUCCCAUUGGACACCUCCUGGAAAUCCUCUUACGGCGGACGGGCAGAGUGCUUCCUUCUUCUUGAUGGGGUGAUGAAGAUGGAAUGAAAAUAAGCUGGGACUGGGAGGGGAGAACUGCCAGAAAUUCUCUUCAGUUGAGAACUGCAUAUACGAAGAGCACAACAGAAGCUGGUAAGAGUUUGUUAAAAAAGAAACAAUUCUCUUCAGGCACCACGCACGCAUAAGCCACACAUCAUGCCCCAGUACUCCAGUUGUACCAGGAAAGGAUCAAGGCGUUGCUCAGGGACGGGUAACCUGCAAGAUUGAGUUUUUUUGUUACAGAGUUACAGUAUCCCAAAUCAGGUUAAAUGACAGCAAAUUGUUCAUGGAUUUUCAGUUCAGGAUUUCGAUCGCUCAGCAGCUAAUCAUUCCGGUGUCCCAAGGAAAUGUUGCGACAGUUCAUCAAGUGAGGAAAAACAUUCGGGCAGUGAUAACUCUUGCAAUUUGAGCAGUGCUGUAGCAGAUAACAGGAAAUGCAGGUUCACAAGUGCUAAAAGACAAUGCAUACAUGCAUAAUAACUAGUCACACAUCAUAAGUUUCAGCCAUUAACAGGAAGGUUUAAAAUGGUCCGAGGCCAUACAGCCAUGCAACUGAAUAACUACGAAAAACGACAUAGGUAGCAGUU
Lolium perenne is the source of this 877-nucleotide non-coding RNA. Lineage: Eukaryota; Viridiplantae; Streptophyta; Magnoliopsida; Poales; Poaceae. The record is from RefSeq and is a predicted model, not a curated record.